AUCGUUUUUUGGCUUUUUAGCUAAGAUCAAGUGCAGUAUCUGUUCUUAUCAGUUUAAUAUCUGAUAUGUUCUCUAGGUGAGAACGUUGUAUUAAACGAAUUUUUAGAACAGGGAGCUGGAAUCAGGGCUUGCUUUUCCCGUUCCAUGCAUCAACCUGGUAUUGCAGUACAUUCAGGAAUAGUGUUCUUGUU
Neoarius graeffei (lesser salmon catfish) is the source of this 191-nucleotide small nuclear RNA. RefSeq annotates it as U2 spliceosomal RNA. Lineage: Eukaryota; Metazoa; Chordata; Actinopteri; Siluriformes; Ariidae. The record is from RefSeq and is a predicted model, not a curated record. The transcript has a single exon.